This 1537-nucleotide long non-coding RNA is filed under the name Gallus gallus (chicken). The record is from RNAcentral. Lineage: Eukaryota; Metazoa; Chordata; Aves; Galliformes; Phasianidae.
AGCCCAGCGGAGCGAGUGAAAGCUGCUGGAAGCCGACAGCAGCGGUUGGGCUGGAAGCUGAGGCGCCCGGUUCUGGGUGAACUGAGCGACAAAUUCUAGCGACAAACUAACAAAUCCGAAAGCAUUUUUCAAGUUCUUAAACCAACUAACGUGUUUCCGGGCUUGUUUUAACGCGAGUGACACGGGCAUUGUUGCCAGGGGGAGAUUUCUAUGGGGUACUUACUAACAGCGAAUGUUUCCGAGAGUGAAUGGGUAAAGCAGAAUUGGAAACUGCAAAGUUCAUCCAUUCAUAGAGGCAAUUCCCUUAUUAAUAAAAACCAGCAGCUGCAAAGCUGUCCCAGCAGAAUAGCGGCGGUGGGAGGGACGAGCCCACACCAAACCCGGAGAUGGAGAGAGGGGGGGGGAAUGGGGGCUCCCCCCCAAGUGCGGGGCGCGGAGAGGAAAUCAGGUGGUGGCGAUGGGAGUUCGUUCCCUCCUCUUCCCAUCCUCCGCCUAUUAAAACAACUCAAGUCUCACUUGUUAAAAGACCCCAUAACGUGGAGAAGGCAGAAAAGCAGCAGCAGCAGCAGGAAAGGAACAGACGUCUGGAAAAUAUUACCCGUUUGCUGCUGCUGCUGCUGAGAACUAAAGCAGCUACGCGGUCCGCGAGGCAUCACCAAAGAGCCUUUAUCUGAUGCUGCACAUCCCAAACUUUCAGCCGCUGCCGUGCAACUCCUCCAGGCUCCUGCCCAGCCGGGUUUGAAACGAGGUCUUCAGCUUCGACCACGAGAAACUUAACUCCUAAUUUAUUAUUUCUAACUUUUUUUUUUUUAAUUAUUAUUAUUAUUUGAAAAAAAAAAAAAAUAUAAAAAUCCCACGACUUCGAGCUAGAAACUGAAGACAAAUACAUUGUAAUAGGGAAAACACGUGGGAGAAAAUGAAUAGGACUGAAUAGCCUUAAGCGAUUUUUUUUUAUUAUUUUCAUUUUUUUAAUUAUUUUUUUUAUUCCUGAGCUUCUGAAUAAGUCCCUGAAAAAGUGCGAUUUGAUCUUUUACCUCAAACUUGGAAACUGUUCAGCGGGAGCAACGGUACGUGAGACCACACAGCUGGCUGGAGCCCCUCUAUGACCAAAGGACAGCCGGACAAACAAGGUAGGGGACUGACCAUCACCCUUCUGGCAUCCCCAGAGCAGAAGCCGCUCUCCUCUUAGCCCACUAUUCCAGGGAGGAAGGCGGAAAAGAGGUCCCCAGACACGAGUGGGGUCGGGGGAGGAUCUUACCGUCUCUAUGCUACACCUAUUCCAGCCAUGAAUAGGACUGCAGUGAGGAUGAAUGAGGUUUUCAGCUUCAACCCCUCCCUCCGUGUAAUCCGUUUAGGAUACAGUUGAGCAAUACGGUUUGGAAGGGAAAACAAAGAAAAAAGUUAAAUUAAUAGCGGUUAAAUCGAUCGAGCAACAGGUUCGGAAGGCAUUCGCCGUGGGGGGGGGGGGGGGGGGCAGAGCCGCCCCCGGCUCCGACCGCCUUCUCCCCUCGCACGCAGCGCCGGGAGGGGACGUGAC